This 21-nucleotide unclassified non-coding RNA is filed under the name Mus musculus (house mouse). Its description in RNAcentral is "oocyte_clustered_small_RNA10403". The record is from RNAcentral. Lineage: Eukaryota; Metazoa; Chordata; Mammalia; Rodentia; Muridae.
AAUUCUUCACGCCUCGAUUCC